CUUGACUGUGGCUUGGAAUUGGGUUCGGGCUCUUCUUGCGCAGCCUAGGCGGGAGGCGUUGAAGGUUUUCUUUCGGGGAAACUGGAGCCAACAGUGAGAGACCACUCUGGAGGAGCUAGAAUUCUAAUGGCGCUCCUUGAAGCAGGACGCUUGACAGUUUCAGGUGGGCAGUUUGACUGGGGCGGUCACCUCCUAAAAGGUAACGGAGGUGUGCAAAGGUUCCCUCAGGCUGGACGGAAAUCAGCCGGAGAGUGUAAAGGCAGAAGGGAGCUUGACUGCAAGACCUACAAGUCGAGCAGGGGCGAAAGCCGGCCUUAGUGAUCCGACGGUUCCAUGUGGAAGGGCCGUCGCUCAACGGAUAAAAGUUA
Molecule: ribosomal RNA, 368 nt
Filed under: uncultured organism
Description: bacterial LSU rRNA
Rfam family: Bacterial large subunit ribosomal RNA
Source: RNAcentral